AUGUCGUGAUAAGGGCACUUUUGUAAUAACUCCUUGAACUGCUCUCAUGCCUCAUAUAAAGAUUCUUCAUCAAGUUGUUGAAAUGAAGUGAUUUCAUUUCGGACCUU
This is a non-coding RNA of Gossypium hirsutum (cotton), 107 nucleotides long. NCBI's taxonomy places the organism in Eukaryota, Viridiplantae, Streptophyta, Magnoliopsida, Malvales, Malvaceae. The record is from Rfam.